AACUAUAGAGAAACAUGUUCAUGGAUCAAAGAACAACAUGUUUGAAAGUGCUAAAGAUGCCAUGAAGAAACAACUGGGCAACUUGAUGAUAGAAGUAUUGUAUAGGCUGGAGAAUACCAUGAAGGAAUCUAUUGAGCUCUCACUCAAGACUGAUGAACACUCAAUCCCAGAUGUUUCAGCAGAGCUCAAGAUGGUCCAGGAACUUUACAAUAAGCUGCAGGAAAGCAGCUAAAACAGGAAACAUUUCUAAGGUA
Girardinichthys multiradiatus is the source of this 254-nucleotide long non-coding RNA. RefSeq lists it as uncharacterized. NCBI's taxonomy places the organism in Eukaryota, Metazoa, Chordata, Actinopteri, Cyprinodontiformes, Goodeidae. The transcript is spliced from 3 exons. The record is from RefSeq and is a predicted model, not a curated record.